ACAAAUGCAUUUCGUCGGGCAUCCCUGUGUUGCAUAAUGAAAAUACAUGAUUCCUUGAAAAAUUCACUUUGAAAAUGUUACAAGACAGAAACCAUCAUGAUACAUUCUGUGUGAGUGUUCAUCCCCUCUGUUUAUUUUGUUAAUCUGCUGUAAUGAUUGACUGUUCCUAACACUGUAAAUCCUCUUGAGAUGCAUCACUCAUCUCAUCUUAUGUUGGUGAGCAAAAACACCAGCAGAGAAAACAAGACUAACACAAGUCAGGUGUGCAGAGGGAAAAUAAGUCUGCACACAAGAGGAACUCAAGUUAUACAAACUAACAAACUGUCUGGACUAACCGAUGCCGAGCAGAGAAAACAGAGCACCCAAAACAAAACCUCGAUCAACAAAAACAAAGGAGAACUGGAACUAAAGAGAGUCCAAAAACCAUGACAAUAAAAAGUUGUCCAGAAAUUAACUUCAAUGAAUACUGAAAAAAAAACAUCAUCUUAAAAUCUUCGCAGUGCUCUUGAGCAAAGAACUUCAUCCUGCAGUUGCAGCUCAGUGUCCACUAGGAGACUGAGGCUGUUCUGAGAAACUCCCUCUCACUUCUAUAGGUCAGACGUUGUCACUGUAGCAGAACAGUGAGGUCCACCUAAAGACAGAGUUGUGAUGGUAAACAUGAAGCUUCUCCUGGUUGUCGUUCUCAUCCUCACCAAUUCCUCUGCUGGGGUAAAAAUUGAGCAGCCUCCAUCUUUAUUCAGCCUUGAAGGAGACCCGACUGUAACUUUACCGUGUGAACAAGAUGAAGAAGACAACUUCUACAUGUACUGGUACAGACAAAGCAGCAGUGGGGGAUUACAGCUGGUCACAUAUUCUCUCAGUAACAACGCGUGGAGCAUCGAAGCUCCGUUCAACAAAUCCAAGUUCUCCAUGUCCCGGCCUGCGGUGCUCAGCUCCUCUCUGCAGAUCCACCGUGUGGAGGCCGGAGACUCAGCUGUGUUUUACUGCGCCACCAGAAGAACACAAUGAUUCAGAAAGCCUCAGCAGCUAAACAACAACCUCAAGAGGAAACCAGGAAGAGGUGACAGAGAGGAGGGAUGAUGAGGAGGGUGA
Anoplopoma fimbria (sablefish) is the source of this 1092-nucleotide non-coding RNA. NCBI's taxonomy places the organism in Eukaryota, Metazoa, Chordata, Actinopteri, Perciformes, Anoplopomatidae. The record is from the annotation of a RefSeq genome assembly.